RNAcentral lists this ribosomal RNA (460 nucleotides) under uncultured bacterium. RNAcentral describes it as "partial 16S ribosomal RNA". It matches the Rfam family "Bacterial small subunit ribosomal RNA", at positions 338 to 795 of the family's 1533-position model. The record is from RNAcentral.
CCUACGGGAGGCUGCAGUGAGGAAUAUUGGUCAAUGGGCGCGAGCCUGAACCAGCCAAGUAGCGUGAAGGAUGACUGCCCUACGGGUUGUAAACUUCUUUUAUAAAGGAAUAAAGUGAGGCACGUGUGCCUUUUUGAAUGUACUUUAUGAAUAAGGAUCGGCUAACUCCAUGCCAGCAGCCGCGGUAAUACGGAGGAUCCGAGCGUUAUCCGGAUUUAUUGGGUUUAAAGGGAGCGUAGUUGGGUUGUUAAGUCAGUUUUGAAAGUUUGCGGCUCAACCGUAAAAUUGCAAUUGAUACUGGCAGUCUUGAGUACAGUGGAGGUAGGCGGAAUUCGUGGUGUAGCGGUGAAAUGCUUAGAUAUCACGAAGAACUCUGAUUGCGAAGGCAGCUUACUAAACUGCCACUGACAUUGAUGCUCGAAAGUGUGGGUAUCAAACAGGAUUAGAUACCCUAGUAGUC